GAUGAACGCUGGCGGCGUGCCUAAUACAUGCAAGUCGAGCGAACGGACGAGAAGCUUGCUUCUCUGAUGUUGGCGGCGGACGGGUGAGUAACACGUGGAUAACCUACCUAUAAGACUGGGAUAACUUCGGGAAACCGGAGCUAAUACCGGAUGAUAUUUUGAACCGCAUGGUUCAAAAGUGAAAGACGGUCUUGCUGUCACUUAUAGAUGGAUCCGCGCUGCAUUAGCUAGUUGGUAAGGUAACGGCUUACCAAGGCAACGAUGCAUAGCCGACCUGAGAGGGUGAUCGGCCACACUGGAACUGAGACACGGUCCAGACUCCUACGGGAGGCAGCAGUAGGGAAUCUUCCGCAAAGGGCGAAAGCCUGACGGAGCAACGCCGCGUGAGUGAUGAAGGUCUUCGGAUCGUAAAACUCUGUUAUUAGGGAAGAACAUAUGUGUAAGUAACUGUGCACAUCUUGACGGUACCUAAUCAGAAAGCCACGGCUAACUACGUG
RNAcentral lists this ribosomal RNA (497 nucleotides) under uncultured bacterium. Its description in RNAcentral is "partial 16S ribosomal RNA". It matches the Rfam family "Bacterial small subunit ribosomal RNA", at positions 28 to 507 of the family's 1533-position model. The record is from RNAcentral.